This 438-nucleotide ribosomal RNA is filed under the name uncultured bacterium. RNAcentral describes it as "partial 16S ribosomal RNA". It matches the Rfam family "Bacterial small subunit ribosomal RNA", at positions 339 to 795 of the family's 1533-position model. The record is from RNAcentral.
CUACGGGUGCUGCAGUGAGGAAUAUUGCACAAUGGGGGGAACCCUGAUGCAGCAACGCCGCGUGGAGGAUGACGCAUUUCGGUGUGUAAACUCCUUUUAUAUGUCAAGAAAAUGACGGUAGCAUAUGAAUAAGCACCGGCUAACUCCGUGCCAGCAGCCGCGGUAAUACGGAGGGUGCAAGCGUUACUCGGAAUCACUGGGCGUAAAGGACGCGUAGGCGGGUUGGAAAGUCAGGUGUGAAAUCCUACAGCUUAACUGUAGAACUGCACUUGAAACUUCUAAUCUAGAGUAUGGGAGGGGGAGAUGGAAUUAGUGGCGUAGGGGUAAAAUCCGUAGAUAUCACUAGGAAUACCUAAAGCGAAGGCGAUCUCCUGGAACAUUACUGACGCUAAGGCGUGAAAGCGUGGGGAGCAAACAGGAUUAGAUACCCUAGUAGUC